UAAACAUUGACAGUUAAUUACACCUACUGUCCGCCUGGGAACUACGAGCGCUAGCUUAAAACCCAAAGGACUUGGCGGUGCUUUAGACCCACCUAGAGGAGCCUGUUCUAGAACCGAUAAUCCCCGUUAAACCUCACCCUUCCUUGUUCUCUCCCGCCUAUAUACCACCGUCGUCAGCUUACCCUGUGAAGGCCCAAUAGUAAGCACAAUCGGCAAUGCCCAAAACGUCAGGUCGAGGUGUAGCGAAUGGAAGGGGAAGAAAUGGGCUACAUUUACUGAUACAGUAAACACGGAUGAUCACCCUGCAACGAGUAUCUGAAGGAGGAUUUAGCAGUAAGCAAAAAACAGAGUGUUUUGCUGAAAUUGGC
Molecule: ribosomal RNA, 368 nt
Filed under: Chaetodon argentatus (Asian butterflyfish)
Lineage: Eukaryota; Metazoa; Chordata; Actinopteri; Chaetodontiformes; Chaetodontidae
Description: partial 12S ribosomal RNA
Rfam family: Bacterial small subunit ribosomal RNA
Source: RNAcentral